UACAGAGGGUGCGAGCGUUGUUCGGAAUUAUUGGGCGUAAAGGGCGCGUAGGCGGUGCGGCAAGUCACCUGUGAAACCUCUGGGCUUAACCCAGAGCCUGCAUUCAAUACUGACAGGCUAGAGUUCUGGAGGGGAUAGCGGAAUUCCUGGUGUAGCGGUGAAAUGCGUAGAUAUCAGGAGGAACACCGGUGGCGAAGGCGGCUAUCUGGGCAGAAACUGACGCUGAGGCGCGAAAGCUAGGGGAGCAAACAGG
Molecule: ribosomal RNA, 253 nt
Filed under: uncultured bacterium
Lineage: Bacteria
Description: partial 16S ribosomal RNA
Rfam family: Bacterial small subunit ribosomal RNA
Source: RNAcentral